This 468-nucleotide ribosomal RNA is filed under the name uncultured bacterium. Its description in RNAcentral is "partial 16S ribosomal RNA". It matches the Rfam family "Bacterial small subunit ribosomal RNA", at positions 28 to 507 of the family's 1533-position model. The record is from RNAcentral.
GACGAACGCUGGCGGCGUGCUUAACACAUGCAAGUCGAACGGAAAGGCCCUGCUUUUGUGGGGUGCUCGAGUGGCGAACGGGUGAGUAACACGUGAGUAACCUGCCCUUGACUUUGGGAUAACUUCAGGAAACUGGGGCUAAUACCGGAUAGGAGCUCCUGCUGCAUGGUGGGGGUUGGAAAGUUUCGGCGGUUGGGGAUGGACUCGCGGCUUAUCAGCUUGUUGGUGGGGUAGUGGCUUACCAAGGCUUUGACGGGUAGCCGGCCUGAGAGGGUGACCGGCCACAUUGGGACUGAGAUACGGCCCAGACUCCUACGGGAGGCAGCAGUGGGGAAUAUUGCACAAUGGGCGGAAGCCUGAUGCAGCAACGCCGCGUGCGGGAUGACGGCCUUAGGGUUGUAAACCGCUUUCGCCUGUGACGAAGCGUGAGUGACGGUAAUGGGUAAAGAAGCACAGGCUAACUACGUG